UGCGCAGGCGGACUAAUAAGUCAGUGGUGAAAUCUUUCGGCUUAACCGGGAAACUGCCAUAGAUACUGUUAGUCUUGAGUUCGGUUGAGGUAGGCGGAAUGUGUAAUGUAGCGGUGAAAUGCUUAGAUAUUACACAGAACACCAAUUGCGUAGGCAGCUUACUAGACCGACACUGACGCUGAGGCACGAAAGCGUGGGGAGCGAACAGGAUUAGAUACCCUGGUAGUCC
RNAcentral lists this ribosomal RNA (229 nucleotides) under uncultured bacterium. Its description in RNAcentral is "partial 16S ribosomal RNA". It matches the Rfam family "Bacterial small subunit ribosomal RNA", at positions 568 to 796 of the family's 1533-position model. The record is from RNAcentral.